AAAACAAUUCUACCUCAGAAUAAAGUAGCAUGUAUUAUUUGUAAAUAGCUUAGCCCUUGCCUGUAACUUCUGUGUGAGAAAUAAUUCUCCUUCAGCUCUCCUUCAGACUGCUCCAUGCCUCCCUGACUCAGGAAAACUCCACAUACAGAAGCCAUAUUGUCUCUCUGGCCAAGAGUCACACAAGCAGUCAGAGAGACACUGAUU
Pelobates cultripes (western spadefoot toad) is the source of this 204-nucleotide non-coding RNA. The record is from the annotation of a GenBank genome assembly. NCBI's taxonomy places the organism in Eukaryota, Metazoa, Chordata, Amphibia, Anura, Pelobatidae.